RNAcentral lists this ribosomal RNA (606 nucleotides) under Triticum aestivum (bread wheat). RNAcentral describes it as "partial small subunit ribosomal RNA". Lineage: Eukaryota; Viridiplantae; Streptophyta; Magnoliopsida; Poales; Poaceae. The record is from RNAcentral.
AUGACGACCUCGUCCGGCUGGCCGGUGCUCAAGUCCUGGCGCGGCGGUCGAUUUUCUCUCCGCGAGGCUGCUCUGGCCCGCGUUGGCGUCGGCGUGUUCUGCGAGCGCCACGGGCACGAAGCCAGGGGGCCGCGGCACAUGUGCAGGACAGGCGCGCGCGAGGGCGCGGCUGAGCGCGGGAACGCGGCACGGCCGAGCAGCGGCCACGGGCAGGAGGGCGCGCAGACGGGCGGUCGGGCACGGGGGCGCGUCGCAGCGCGGAGGCCCUGGUCUGGGGCAUGGCGUGGAGGGCGCGAGUCCGGCAGCGCGGCAGUGUGGCGGCCGAGCGGACGGGCGCGUUUGCGCGCGGGCGCGGCUGUGGAGGCCGGGGAGCAGCGCCGACGCGGCCAGGAACGGCCACGGCAUGGGCGGGCGCGGCCACGGCUGGCGACUGAGGGUGCGAGGCGCGAAGUGUUGAGGCUGCCGCUUGGAAGCGCUUGCGCCGGGCUGAUGGCCGCCGCGGUAGCGGGCGCCACCACGCCGAACCGAGGGCUGCGGUCGUUGAACUCGCGAGCGAGCGAGGUCGUAGCAGGCGCCGAUAGAAUCGCCCCGCCGGGAGCAUGCUGA